This 72-nucleotide transfer RNA is filed under the name Ezakiella coagulans. RNAcentral describes it as "Bacteroides coagulans tRNA". It matches the Rfam family "tRNA". Rfam says of the family: Transfer RNA (tRNA) molecules are approximately 80 nucleotides in length. Their secondary structure includes four short double-helical elements and three loops (D, anti-codon, and T loops). The record is from Rfam by way of RNAcentral. Lineage: Bacteria; Bacillati; Bacillota; Tissierellia.
GCUUGCGUAGCUCAAUGGUAGAGCAAUCGGCUGUUAACCGAUAGGCUGUAGGUUCGAGCCCUACCGCAAGCG